AUACGUAGGGGGCAAGCGUUAUCCGGAAUUACUGGGCGUAAAGAGCUCGUAGGCGGCUCAGCAAGUCGGUCGUGAAAGCCCGAGGCUCAACCUCGGAACUGCGGUCGAUACUGCUGUGGCUAGAGUCCGGUAGAGGAGAGUGGAAUUCCCGGUGUAGCGGUGGAAUGCGCAGAUAUCGGGAGGAACACCAGUGGCGAAGGCGGCUCUCUGGGCCGGUACUGACGCUGAGGAGCGAAAGCGUGGGGAGCAAACAGGAUUAGAAACCCCAGUAGUCC
RNAcentral lists this ribosomal RNA (275 nucleotides) under uncultured bacterium. RNAcentral describes it as "partial 16S ribosomal RNA". It matches the Rfam family "Bacterial small subunit ribosomal RNA", at positions 523 to 796 of the family's 1533-position model. The record is from RNAcentral.